AAGCACUCCACACCAAAGGGGACAAUAAAUUGAUCAUUUUCGCCACCUCCAUUUAUAUCAAAAGCAGACAACAUGGACAUCGGGGAAAUUUCCUUCUCGAAGGAAGAUAAAGUCAAAACAGACCUCCCAACAGCCCAUAGCCUCUUUGGAGCCCGAACAACAACCAGAGGAGGAGGCCAGCCAGACGAUCUGGGUAAAACAGUUUCAACGACCUGCCAAAUGACUCCACCCAUCAACCGCCCUGCUAGAAGGACCUCAGAAGCAACCUUCAGACUCCCUCGAGGUAAUAUCAGAUUUUCAAGAGGUUUGGACUGAUCCAUCUUUAUCUCAGGUACUGCAAAAAGUUCCAAACAGAGACAAG
RNAcentral lists this long non-coding RNA (361 nucleotides) under Manihot esculenta (cassava). Its description in RNAcentral is "long non-coding RNA (MESC_LNC012858)". Lineage: Eukaryota; Viridiplantae; Streptophyta; Magnoliopsida; Malpighiales; Euphorbiaceae. The record is from RNAcentral.